GCGUUUUUUUGGUGCGGAUAUCGCAGUUCCUCACGCGCCGUCAAAUCCCCUAUUGCUGUCGUUCACGUGCCGUCCGUCCCCUGCAGUCGCGAUGGCUUCAGGUGAGGUUCCGGUCACUCGCGAUGGCUUCAGGUGCGAUUCCGGGUUCCGGGAACUGGCGUGGUUCCAGCCUUCCAGGUCACGCCGGACAUCCGUCGGAUUUCAGGUGCCAUCCGCAGCCAGCUUCGCCGCACCUGAAAGCUGGCUACAUCUAAAUAUCACCGAUCAAAUAAGGUUAAAACCUCAGUGAACUUUAAUUAAGAAUUUUUGUAUUAAAAUUGAUUAAGGUUAAUAUAGGAAUUAGUGUUAAAACUGUUUAUGAAUUUCAGAUAUAUUGUUCAUUAAAUAACAGUUAAUGACUCAAGUUCAAGUGUUAAGAUAUAUUAUGUUAUUUGCUUUAGAAAUGUAAAUACAGCGUCGCGAAUUAGGAGGCUUGGGGGUAAUAAAAUAUAUAAUAAUUUUAAAUAUUUUAUUUUUAUAAGUAUUUUUAAUUUUGUUAAAAUUUUAAGGGUGAACUUUAAUUUUGUUUAUAAAUCUUAAUAUUGUUAAUAAUUAAUUUAUUACUAUUUAAUAUUUAUUUCAAUAUGUCAAUUAACAGUCCAGUCAAGGAUUUUAAAAUUUCGUUCUCUCCUGUUCCUCUGUUCUCUUUUCCUCUCCUUCGUCUCCUGUCUUCAUCCAUUCUUUUAUUUUUGUCUCCACUUAUUAAGAUUAUUAAGUAUUAAGUUUAAUUAAGUCUGUUUUAUUAAGUUUAGUUUAACUAAGUUAUUAUUGUGUAACAGGCCCAACUCGGAUGUUGGCCCAUUAGAAAUUAGGGUUAGUAUAAAUAUCAAGUUGUAAUAAACUAUUAAAUUAAUUUUUCCAAUAUUCAAAUUCCAAACCCUACUCUCGCGUCUCUCCCAAUCGUCUGUUCACCUCUCACCGCGACUCUUGGUCGCCGAACCCUAAAAACUAAAUGCUGCUCACGCUCCACUCCGGUCUCCUUCAAUCUUCAUGGUAUCAGAGCCUCGUGGAGUGCUGUGCUGCUGAUCUCACUGGAAAGCUUCCGAAACCUUCCUGGUUCAAGCCGUCCCGACUCUGUCAGAAUCCCGACACUUCCUCUUCAAAUACUAAGUCUGGUAUAUCUAAAGAACUCUAUUAGUUUUGUUUGUGAUAAUAAAUAUCUAGAUGUUAUGAGUGUCAUGCAUGUUGAUCAUCUUAGAUCCAAACGAUUUUUUAUUGCAUGUCUUUGCACAACAUCACUCCUGUCACUGUUGUCUUUGAUAUCUCAUUAUCAUUUUGAAAACAAUACUAUACACGAAAUCAUAAGCAGAUAUUUCAGAUCUAUAUUGUUAUGUGUUGCAUGUCUUCACACAUUACUUCUUAUGCCAUUACUAAAUAUAAAACCUCAUAUAAAAAUGAAAAACACUAAUAUGUGCAUGUCUCAGAUCAUGCUAUAUUUAUGUAAAUGUGAACCAAUGCAUAUAAAUCACUGCUAUUUGCUGACCAUCAACAGUAAAUACACAUACUCUUCAUGUAGAAUACUAUUUGGUAGACUAGUUCAUAUUAACAUGAUAUCUGUACAUCAUACACUUGACUGGUAUCUUAUACAUGCAUUUACACACAAUGUGUCCAGUAAAAUACACUCAGUAUCACACCAUAAUUUAAUGAUGUGCUUCAUGUCAAAUAAUACAUUUCAUAGUAAAUACUUACUCUGUUAUAUGAUACACUAUACUAGAUACAUGUUAAUCAAAAUAAAUGUUUAUCUUAUAAUAUUUCCGCUGCUACUCAGAUACUCUAAUAAAAUCAAAAGUGGAUUGCUAACCACUGACCAAAUCAAAUCACCUAAUCUAAAUUAUGAUUUACUAUCUAUGAUUCAUUCAAGAUCAGUAAACAUCGAAUUAAUAUUAUCUUAUGAUCAUGAAAAAUGUUACAGAGUCUUCUACAUGUCAGGAACUGAGAAUGUUCAACAGGAUGUCCCAUCUGGCCAGGUUGUUCAAACAACACAAAAGAAGCCACUUGGUGGCCCCCUGUUUAAUCCAACUUCCAUUUAUUUCUUCAAAUCCACAGAUUAUGGUCCCCCAACCAUAAUAAAUAUCCUACAGGGCAGUCAGAAUUAUUAUCCCUGGAAUAGGGAAAUGACUACAAUGCUAAUCACUAGAAGAAAGCUGGGAUUUGUCAAUGGAGCUAUAAAGGAACCAUCUCUGAAUGAAGUAGAAGAGCAUGAGGCCUGGAUAACAUGUCAUGGGAUUAUAAGGCAAUGGAUAUGGAGCUCUGUCUCACAGGAGAUAGCCUCCCAAAUCAUGUACACUGAUGAUGCCUCUAUAAUAUGGGCUGAUCUAAGGGAUCAGUACAGACAGUCCAAUGAAACUCAUCUGUUUCAGUUAACACAGGAUAUUGUUCUACUCCAACAGGGUUCAAACUCUGUUUCAAAAUUCAGUGCUACCCUUAAGACUAUGUGGAGAGAAGUUGAUGCCUAUGGUGAGGUACCCAGGUGUAGUUGCAUCACAUGCACCUACAAUGUGAAUGGGAGAAUCAAUGAAAGAGAAGAGAGGCUAAAGGUGAGGAAAUUCUUGAUGGGCCUGAAUGAUAAUUUUAGGCAGAUAAGGUCAACCAUCCUAUCUAUGGAUAAGCUUCCCAUCUUUGGGAAGGUAUUCUCAAUGGUUAUUUAUGAAGAGGCCCAACAACAAUUGAUCAACAAUACCAAUACCACUCAAGGCUCUGUCUUCUACUCAUCUAAGGGAAAGACACCCUAUCAGACAACCAAGCCCACAAAUACUCCAUCCUCUUCAACACAAAGAAAAAGGCCUCCUACCCCAACUGAACCCAUUUACUAUAGGAGUGGCAAGCAAGUAAACACAAGGUAUUACUGCUUUCACUGUGCUGCAUUUGGGCACAGUGAUGAAAAAUGUUUUAACCAGCAUGGAUACCCUUCCAGGAACACUACAUCUGCCACUAGGGCCAAGCCCACUACUCCAACAGCUACUGUGAUCAACAAGCCACAAGGCUCUGCCAAUUGUGUAAAUUCUGAACAAACCUGGUCAGUUUGGGACAGUGAUGAGAAGAAGCCAGAAUCUCCUGAUAAUCCUAUUGGUCCAUAUGGCUUCCCCCUCUACUCUGAAAAGUAUAAUCCAAAGCCCCUGCCCAAGCACAACUCAGGUAAUGCUAAUAAUGUUUUUUUAAAUUAUUCAAAUACAUACUGGAUCAUUGACUCAGGUGCAUCAGAACACCUGAGUGGGAAUGAAUCCUUAUUUCUAAAACUCACAAAGUGUGAUCCAUUCAAGAUCUCACUGCCAAAUGGGGACAGCCAAACAGUGUCCCAAAAGGGUGAUAUUUCCAUCUCACCUGACAUCACAUUGGAGGAUGUAUAUUAUAUCCCAUCCUUUCAAGUAAACUUGCUAUCCAUUAGCAAGUUAACACAACAUGAUACUUAUUCAGUACAAUUCUCUAAAUCAUGUGCAUUCAUAUAUGACAAGGUUCAGAUGAAAGAAGUUGGUCAGAGUAAAAUGAAGAAAGGACUGUACUGUCUGCCACAAACCAGUGGUGGAAAUCAUUUUGCAGGUGCCAUAACAACAUCAACAUGACACAAAAGAUUGGGUCACACUUCCAGUGAUAGACUCAAACACAUUUUAAACAAUCUUACUUUAGACUUUAAAAAUAUUACUUUUGAUAAAUACUGUGAUACAUGUCAUUUUUCUAAACAACCUAGGAAGUCAUUUUCAUUACAUGCAUCUAGAACUAAACAUGCAUUUGAUCUACUUCACAUGGAUGUGGGGGGGAACUUUCACACUCCAACAGUCCAUGGGAAGAAAUAUUUUUUUACUGUGGUUGAUGACUAUACUAGAUAUACUUGGACUUAUUUAAUUGCUAUGAAGUCUGAAUGUUUUACUAUUUUUAAAAAUCUGUAUGCCCUUAUCAAAAACCACUUUGACAUAUCUGUCAAAGCCAUAAGGACUGAUAAUGGUGGAGAGUUCUUCUCUUCAACCAUGGAUCGAUGAAUUCCUAAAAACAAAUGGAAUCAUCCACUACUCUAGUUGCCCCCAUACACCACAGCAAAAUGGUGUGGUUGAGAGGAAACAUCAACACCUCCUAAAUGUAGCUAGAUCACUGAAGUUACAAUCCACACUACCAAUUGAGUUGUGGGGAUAUUCAAUACUUCAGGCAACCAAAAUCAUCAAUAUGUUACCAUCCAAGGUAACACAGAACAUAUCCCCAUAUGAACUUAUGCACUCUAGGAAGCCUGACUAUGAAGGUCUAAGGACCUUUGGCUGCCUAUGCUAUGUAACUUGUCUUGUUAAAAAAGACAAGUUCUCCCCCAGAGCAAAAAGUGCAUAUAUCUAGGUUCAUCCCCAACCCAAAAGGGUUCAAUAGUAUAUGAAUUAGAUACUCACCACAUCUCUACAAGUAGAGAUGUGACCUUUUAUGAGGAUGUGUUCCCUCUAAAUAAGGAUCAGGAUAAAACAAACAAUCAAAUGGUAACGAAAAAUCAAAUCAAAAAUCCAACAACUAACAUUGAUCUCUCUGAGAUAAACCAAAUUGAGUCUAUCUCUGAUGAUUCAGACACAAAUUCAACUACAUCAAACUCUGAACUCUCAGAGGUAACACAAACAAACCAAACAUGUGAUCAAUAGUACCUCUAAAUCCAGAAGCUAAACAAAUACCAAAUCAAACUUCAGAUGAUUCACAAUCAUAUUUAAGAUACCCAAGCAGACAGAGAAGACCUCCAACAAAAUUAAAUGACUAUUUCUGUUCAUUUGCCACAAGCAAGGGUAAAUCUAAAGGCACCUCAUACCCUAUGCAUGAUUGCCUAACAUAUAAAAGGCUAUCCACUUCUCACACGGACUAUUUAGACAAAAUCUCUAUUACAACUGAACCAUCAUCCUUUAAACAAGCUAGUCAAAGCCCUGAAUGGGUGAAAACAAUGAAUGAUGAACUUGCAGCUCUAGAACUAAAUGAUACUUGGUAAAUAGUACCUAGACCAAAAGAGAGAAAGAUAGUUGGCUCCAGAUGGGUAUACAAAGUGAAACACAAAUCCAAUGGCCAAAUUGAGAGGCUAAAGGCCAGGCUUGUGGCAAGGGGGCACACUCAGAUAGAAGAGUUUGAUUACAAAGAGACAUUCUCACCUGUGGCAAAGAUCAUCUCUGUCAGGACCCUCCCAGCAGUGGCCUCAAUCAAGAGCUGGACAACAUAUCAAAUGGAUGUGAGCAAUGCUUUCCUACAUGGUGAAUUAUCUGAAGAAAUCUACAUGUCUCCUCCUCCAGGGAUGUUACCAGCAGAUGACACCAGGGUUUGCAAACUAAAAAAAUCUAAAUAUGGCUUGAAACAAACAAAUAGGAACUGGUAUGAAAAGCUCACAUCUGCCCUGACCAAAUUUGGGUAUAAUCAAUCUCACUCUGAUUAUACACUAUUUUUUAAAUCAAAUGUGAAAUCAUACACUUGCCUGCUCAUAUAUGUGGAUGACUUGAUUAUUUCAGGAGAUGAUGAAUCUGAGAUACAAAAAUUAAAAGAGUAUCUACACCUCCAAUUCCAUAUAAAAGAUUUGGGCAAGCUCAAAUAUUUUUUAGGAAUUGAGGUAUCUCAAUCUAAUAUGGGCAUAUUCCUAUCUCAAAGAAAGUAUGUUCUUGACAUUCUACAUGAUUUUGGACAAUUGGGCUCAUCACCAUCCAAAAUUCCAAUGUCUCAUAAUAAUAAAAACUCUGAAAAUGAUACUCUACUGAAAGAUCCAUCAACCUAUAGAAAGCUGAUUGGAAAAUUGUUAUAUUUAACAAUCACAAGACCAGAUAUCUCAUUUGCUGUUAGUCACCACAGUCAAUUCUUGGCAGAACCAAAACAAUCGCACUUCAAUUCUGCCAUAAAAAUACUGAAAUAUAUCAAAGGCACACCAGGCAAAGGCAUUCUAUACAAAAGAGAUGCACCUCUACAACUAGAGGCCUACUGUGAUGCAGACUGGGCAGAUUGUCCUAAUACCAGAAGAUCCAUAACAGGAUACACAAUCUUUUUAGGUGGCUCAGCCAUAGCAUGGAAAUCAAAGAAGCAAACAACUAUUAGCAGAUCAUCUGCUGAAAGUGAAUAUAGAGCUAUGGCAUCAACUGUAUGUGAAAUAAUGUGGCUACACUAUUUUUUGAAUGACUUGCAGGUAAAACCAUCAGAAAAAACAAUAUUACACUGUGACAACAUGGCUGCAAUCCAUAUUGCAACAAAUCCAGUGUUUCAUGAGCGAACUAAACACAUAGAGAUUGACUGCCACUUAAUUCGUGAUCAUCUUCAAGCUGGAUUAUUCAAACUACAACAUGUCUCUACAACAUCACAAGUAGCAGACAUCCUAACAAAACCAGCAAACCUGGAAUCAUUACGCAACUUACUACCCAAGCUGGGACUCUAUGAUAUACACUCUCCAGCUUGAGGGGGGGUAUUAAGUUUAAUUAAGUCUAUUUUAUUAAGUUUAGUUUAACUAAGUUAUUAUUGUGUAACAGGCCCAAUUCGGAUGUUGGCCCAUUAGAAAUUAGGGUUAGUAUAAAUAUCAAGUUGUAAUAAACUAUUAAAUUAAUUUUUCCAAUAUUCAAAUUCCAAACCCUACUCUCACGUCUCUCCCAAUCGUCUGCUCACCUCUCACCGCGACUCUUGGUCGCCGAACCCUAAAAACUAAACGUUGCUCACGCUCCACUCCGGU
Molecule: long non-coding RNA, 6685 nt
Filed under: Zostera marina
Lineage: Eukaryota; Viridiplantae; Streptophyta; Magnoliopsida; Alismatales; Zosteraceae
Description: long non-coding RNA (ZMAR_LNC005364)
Source: RNAcentral